This 460-nucleotide ribosomal RNA is filed under the name uncultured bacterium. RNAcentral describes it as "partial 16S ribosomal RNA". It matches the Rfam family "Bacterial small subunit ribosomal RNA", at positions 338 to 795 of the family's 1533-position model. The record is from RNAcentral.
CCUACGGGCGGCAGCAGUGAGGAAUAUUCGUCAAUGGACGAGAGUCUGAACCAGCCAAGUCGCGUGAAGGAUGACUGCCCUAUGGGUUGUAAACUUCUUUUAUAUGGGAAUAAAAUGUUCCACGUGUGGGAUUUUGUAUGUACCAUUUGAAUAAGGAUCGGCUAACUCCGUGCCAGCAGCCGCGGUAAUACGGAGGAUCCGAGCGUUAGCCGGAUUUAUUGGGUUUAAAGGGAGCGUAGGUGGAUUGUUAAGUCAGUUGUGAAAGUUUGCGGCUCAACCGUAACAUUGCAGUUGAAACUGGCAGUCUUGAGUACAGGAGAGGUGGGCGGAAUUCGUGGUGUAGCGGUGAAAUGCUUAGAUAUCACGAAGAACACCGAUUGCGAAGGCAGUUCACUGGACUGCAACUGACACUGAGGCUCGAAAGUGUGGGUAUCAAACAGGAUUAGAUACCCCAGUAGUC